AGUGAACGCUGGCGGUAGGCCUAACACAUGCGAGUCGAACGGCAGCACAGUAAGAGCUUGCUCUUACGGGUGGCGAGUGGCGGACGGGUGAGGAAUACAUCGGAAUCUACUUUUUCGUGGGGGAUAACGUAGGGAAACUUACGCUAAUACCGCAUACGACCUUCGGGUGAAAGCAGGGGAUCUUCGGACCUUGCGCGAUUGAAUGAGCCGAUGUCGGAUUAGCUAGUUGGCGGGGUAAAGGCCCACCAAGGCGACGAUCCGUAGCUGGUCUGAGAGGAUGAUCAGCCACACUGGAACUGAGACACGGUCCAGACUCCUACGGGAGGCAGCAGUGGGGAAUAUUGGACAAUGGGCGCAAGCCUGAUCCAGCCAUACCGCGUGGGUGAAGAAGGCCUUCGGGUUGUAAAGCCCUUUUGUUGGGAAAGAAAAGCAGCAGGUUAAUACCCCGCUGUUCUGACGGUACCCAAAGAAUAAGCACCGGCUAACUUCGUG
This 492-nucleotide ribosomal RNA is filed under the name uncultured bacterium. Its description in RNAcentral is "partial 16S ribosomal RNA". It matches the Rfam family "Bacterial small subunit ribosomal RNA", at positions 29 to 507 of the family's 1533-position model. The record is from RNAcentral.